RNAcentral lists this ribosomal RNA (727 nucleotides) under fungal sp. Its description in RNAcentral is "eukaryotic LSU rRNA". The stretch from base 475 to 727 matches the Rfam family "Eukaryotic large subunit ribosomal RNA", at positions 1 to 257 of the family's 3401-position model. Lineage: Eukaryota; Fungi. The record is from RNAcentral.
UUACCGAGUUUACAACUCCCAAACCCCUGUGAACAUACCAAUUGUUGCCUCGGCGGAUCAGCCCGCUCCCGGUAAAACGGGACGGCCCGCCAGAGGACCCCUAAACUCUGUUUCUAUAUGUAACUUCUGAGUAAAACCAUAAAUAAAUCAAAACUUUCAACAACGGAUCUCUUGGUUCUGGCAUCGAUGAAGAACGCAGCAAAAUGCGAUAAGUAAUGUGAAUUGCAGAAUUCAGUGAAUCAUCGAAUCUUUGAACGCACAUUGCGCCCGCCAGUAUUCUGGCGGGCAUGCCUGUUCGAGCGUCAUUUCAACCCUCAAGCCCCCGGGUUUGGUGUUGGGGAUCGGCGAGCCCUUGCGGCAAGCCGGCCCCGAAAUCUAGUGGCGGUCUCGCUGCAGCUUCCAUUGCGUAGUAGUAAAACCCUCGCAACUGGUACGCGGCGCGGCCAAGCCGUUAAACCCCCAACUUCUGAAUGUUGACCUCGGAUCAGGUAGGAAUACCCGCUGAACUUAAGCAUAUCAAUAAGCGGAGGAAAAGAAACCAACAGGGAUUGCCCUAGUAACGGCGAGUGAAGCGGCAACAGCUCAAAUUUGAAAUCUGGCUCUCGGGCCCGAGUUGUAAUUUGUAGAGGAUACUUUUGAUGCGGUGCCUUCCGAGUUCCCUGGAACGGGACGCCAUAGAGGGUGAGAGCCCCGUCUGGUUGGAUGCCAAAUCUCUGUAAAGUUCCUU